This 289-nucleotide ribosomal RNA is filed under the name uncultured bacterium. Its description in RNAcentral is "partial 16S ribosomal RNA". It matches the Rfam family "Bacterial small subunit ribosomal RNA", at positions 31 to 334 of the family's 1533-position model. The record is from RNAcentral.
AAGGAACGCUGGCAGCGUGCAUAACACAUGCAAGUCGAACGGUAGUAUUAUCUUCGGAUGAUAUGAGAGUGGCGAACGGGUGAGUAACACGUAAGAAUCUACCUUUAGGACGGGGAUAACUUCUGGAAACGGAUGCUAAUACCCGAUAUGCUGUGGAGUGAAAGGAAUUUCGCCUAGAGAUGAUCUUGCGUCUGAUUAGCUUGAUAGGGUGGUAAUGGCACCCUAUGGCGACGAUCAGUAGCUGGUCUGAGAGGAUGGACAGCCACAUUGGGACUGAGACACGGCCCAA